This 913-nucleotide long non-coding RNA is filed under the name Parus major (Great Tit). Its description in RNAcentral is "lncRNA (ENSPMJG00000004322.1)". Lineage: Eukaryota; Metazoa; Chordata; Aves; Passeriformes; Paridae. The record is from RNAcentral.
GUGAGGGGAGAAAAAGGCAGGAAAGUGUGAGGGGGGAAAAUAGCAGGAAAUGUGAGCGAAUGGUGUGGAGGGAGGUCAUGAGGGGACACCCAUUUUGGAGUGCUCUGAUACAGUUCCAGAUGUUUUCAUUCCAAUUUCAGCGGUGAUUAAGAUGGAAGGGGGUACGGAGCACGACCUGCGGAUCCUGGAGCAGGAGGAGGAGGAGGAGCGGACGGAAAAGGCCGAAGGCCCCAAAAAGGAGGAGCCGCGGCCACCAGAGCCCCCUGGGAAAGGCCCCACAGAGCGCCCCGAUGGCGAUGACAGCACCAAGGCUGAAGGGGCGGAGCCAGGGGCGGAGCCUGCAGCGGGGGCAGGGCCAGAGGAAGAGGAGGAGGGGCCAGACAAGGGGCCCAAGGCUGAGGAUGGUGACAAGGAGGGCGGAGCCAAGGUAAGUGGACACGCCCCCAAAUGACCACACCCCACAAAACUCUGCCCCCACAUUACUGCAGUAACGCUGAUGAGGCCCCGCCCCUUUUCAUUAACCACCCCGACUCAUAACGAGCCACACCCCUUACUAACGAACCACAUCCCUCCCCAAGAGCCCCACCCCAUGGAAAGUACCGCCCCUCUACACAGGCCACACCCCUUUAAAGGCCUCUCCCCUUCAAGCGCCCUGUAGGCUCCUCCCAUCCUCAUUAAAUCACUUUGAGCCCCACCCCUUUCACCCUGGCCACGCCCCCUGACGCCCCCCCCACGCUGUCCCUGCAGGGGCGGCCGCGCCAGCGCAGCCGGGACAGCGAGGACGGGGACAGUGACAGCGGGGACAGCGAGGGGGGGACACGGAGAGCCCCGGGCAAGGACGGUGAGGGGACAGGGAGGGGACACAGAGAGGGGACAGGGGACACAGGGGACAGCGAGGGGGGGACACGGAGAG